UGGGGAAUAUUGGACAAUGGGGGCAACCCUGAUCCAGCAAUGCCGCGUGUGUGAAGAAGGUCUUCGGAUUGUAAAGCACUUUCGACGGGGACGAUGAUGACGGUACCCGUAGAAGAAGCCCCGGCUAACUUCGUGCCAGCAGCCGCGGUAAUACGAAGGGGGCUAGCGUUGCUCGGAAUGACUGGGCGUAAAGGGCGUGUAGGCGGUUUACACAGUCAGAUGUGAAAUCCCCGGGCUUAACCUGGGAGCUGCAUUUGAUACGUGUAGACUAGAGUGUGAGAGAGGGUUGUGGAAUUCCCAGUGUAGAGGUGAAAUUCGUAGAUAUUGGGAAGAACACCGGUGGCGAAGGCGGCAACCUGGCUCAUGACUGACGCUGAGGCGCGAAAGCGUGGGGAGCAAACAGGAUUAGAUACCCUGGUAGUCCACGCUGUAAACGAUGUGUGCUAGAUGUUGGGUAACUUUGUUA
RNAcentral lists this ribosomal RNA (466 nucleotides) under uncultured bacterium. RNAcentral describes it as "partial 16S ribosomal RNA". It matches the Rfam family "Bacterial small subunit ribosomal RNA", at positions 355 to 838 of the family's 1533-position model. The record is from RNAcentral.